RNAcentral lists this ribosomal RNA (228 nucleotides) under uncultured bacterium. Its description in RNAcentral is "partial 16S ribosomal RNA". It matches the Rfam family "Bacterial small subunit ribosomal RNA", at positions 15 to 235 of the family's 1533-position model. The record is from RNAcentral.
GAUCCGGCUCAGGAUGAACGCUAGCUACAGGCUUAACACAUGCAAGUCGAGGGGCAGCAUGGUCUUAGCUUGCUAAGGCCGAUGGCGACCGGCGCACGGGUGAGUAACACGUAUCCAACCUGCCGUCUACUCUUGGACAGUCUUCUGAAAGGAAGAUUAAUACAAGAUGGCAUCAUGAGUUCACAUGUUCACAUGAUUAAAGGUAUUCCGGUAGACGAUGGGGAUGCG